UUAUCACCGAGUGCUUGCACUCACCGAUAAAGAGUUGAGUGGCGAACGGGUGAGUAACACGUGGGCAACCUGCCCAAAAGAGGGGGAUAACACUUGGAAACAGGUGCUAAUACCGCAUAACCAUAGUUACCGCAUGGUAACUAUGUAAAAGGUGGCUAUGCUACCGCUUUUGGAUGGGCCCGCGGCGCAUUAGCUAGUUGGUGGGGUAAAGGCUUACCAAGGCAAUGAUGCGUAGCCGAACUGAGAGGUUGAUCGGCCACAUUGGGACUGAGACACGGCCCAAACUCCUACGGGAGGCAGCAGUAGGGAAUCUUCCACAAUGGGCGAAAGCCUGAUGGAGCAACGCCGCGUGGGUGAAGAAGGUCUUCGGAUCGUAAAACCCUGUUGUUAGAGAAGAAAGUGCGUGAGAGUAACUGUUCACGUUUCGACGGUAUCUAACCAGAAAGCCACGGCUAACUACGUGCCAGCAGCCGCGGUAAUACGUAGGUGGCAAGCGUUAUCCGGAUUUAUUGGGCGUAAAGGGAACGCAGGCGGUCUUUUAAGUCUGAUGUGAAAGCCUUCGGCUUAACCGGAGUAGUGCAUUGGAAACUGGGAGACUUGAGUGCAGAAGAGGAGAGUGGAACUCCAUGUGUAGCGGUGAAAUGCGUAGAUAUAUGGAAGAACACCAGUGGCGAAAGCGGCUCUCUGGUCUGUAACUGACGCUGAGG
Molecule: ribosomal RNA, 707 nt
Filed under: uncultured Lactobacillus sp.
Lineage: Bacteria; Bacillati; Bacillota; Bacilli; Lactobacillales; Lactobacillaceae
Description: bacterial SSU rRNA
Rfam family: Bacterial small subunit ribosomal RNA
Source: RNAcentral